AGCCCAACCCCAAUCAAACACAGCUGAAGGAGCUAAUCAAAGUGUUCAGGGUUGCUUGAUAAUAACAGAAAGUGUUGGAGCUGAGUUGAAACUGAAGUCUGCAGGAUCAUAGCUUACCAGGAACAGGAGUGGAAACGUAUAUGGAGAUAAAAUGAUUGUUUUUAGAGGGUUCGAGCAGUUGCAGAGCAGUAUGGUCAGUAAACUGCAGCACUGGGUUUGCCGCCCCUGCCAAAGGACACCAUCGGUGUGGUGGGAAGUAUGAGAGCGGCAUUUUUACUGCCGUCUGCCUUCAAUCUCAUCAAACAACAGCAGAGACGUGCCAAGAAAGAAAACAAUGGUUUUAAAUGUUUUUGAUUAAGGAAAAAUUAGAAGUGUAAACUUUGGAUAGAAGUGAACAGAACAUGAGUGGUCUCUCUUGGACAUAAAUGAGGACAGAUUACAGGACUUUAGAAGGCCUGAAGCCGUCAUCAUCUUGCAGAAGUGCUUCUUCAUCUGUAGUCUGACUCUUUCACAAUUUCUGCCGUGUGGCCCGUCACACUGAACAUCUUUGGAAUGGAAUUCUCAUGCUGUCCUGCACCAGACUAUUUCGCAAUUACUGCCGUGUUAGUCUAAACACCCUGGACAUGAUAGACUGAGACCAGACAGAAUGGAUGCCUAAAGAAGAAGAAUUUGAUGUUUUACUUGAGAAUUAUACAUGUGAUUUUAAUUAAAACUGUUAAAAUGUGUUAAAAAGAAUAAAACGGGAGUAAAAGUGAUUUGAAUUUAAAAGUGCAUAUAAAAUAUACUUCAAAAUAUCAGUUUGGACGCAGCAUAGUGCUCAUUCGGUAAAUGCAUAGCUAAACAGAUGUGUUUUAAGUCUGGAUUUGAAUGUGACUACUGUUGGAGCAGAUCUGAUCUCUUCUGGAAGCUGGUUCCAGCUGCGACUGGCAUGAUAGCUAAAAGCUGACUCUUCUUGCUUGGAGUGAACCCUUGGUAAUUCUUGCUGAUCUGAUCUUAAUGAUCUGAGUGAUUUGUUGGGAUUAUAUUCAAUGAGCAUAUCUGCAAUGUAUUGAGGUCCUAGUCCAUUGAGUGAUUUAUAUACCAUUAAUAAUACUUUAAAAUCAAUCCUAAAUGUAACUGGUAGCCAGUUUAAAGACCUGAGGACUGGUGUGAUAUGUCCUGGCAGCAGCGUUCUGGAUGAGCUGCAGCUGUCUAAUGGUCUUUUUGGGAAGGCCAGUAAGGAGGCCAUUACAAUAAUCCACCCUGCUGGUGAUGAAAGCAUGCACAAGUUUCUCUAAGUCUUGUCUGGAAACAAAGCAUCUAAUUCUUGCGAUAUUUUUGAGAUGAUAGUAUGCUGAUUUAGUUAUUGCUUUGACAUGACUACUGAAACUAAGGUCAGACUCCAGAAUCACACCAAGAUUCCUGACUUGAUUUUUAGUUGUUUGACCCCUAGUGUCAAGGUGUACAUUCACCUUGAGAACUUCAUCUUUGUUUCAAAACUCAAUGACUUCAGUUUUCUCUUUGUUUAACUGCAGAAAGUUUUGGCACAUCCAACUGUUAACUUCAUCAAUGCAUUUGCACAGGGAGUCAAUGGGGCUGUAGUCGUUAAGUAGAUCUGAGUGUCGUCUGCAUAACUUUGAUAGCCAAUUUGGUUAUCUCUCGUUAUUUGGCUCAGUGGGAGCAUAUACAGUGUUAACAGGAGUGGCACAAGAAUUGAGCCUUGCGGGACUCCGCAUGUCAUGGAUCUUCACUCAGAUUUAUGGCCACCUAUACUCACAUAAUAACCUGAACCAUGGACAAGUAUGACCUGAACCAUUUUAGGACCAUUCCAGAAAGCCCGACCCAGUUUUCCAGCCUGUCAAGAAGUAUGUUGUGAUCGACAAUGUCAAAAGCAGCACUGAGGUUGAGUAGCAACAGCACUGAUAGUUUGCCUGUGUCUGUAUUGAGGCGAAUAUCAUUUAUUAUCUAUAUGAGCACUGUCUCUGUACUAUGGUGUGGUCGGAAACCAGAUUGAAAAUUGUCAAAGAACUUAAGAAUUUGUUCAGCUGAUUGAAAACAACAUUUUCAAUGAUCUUGCCUAUGAAGGAAGAUUUGAGAUUGGUCUGUAGUUGCUCAAUACAGUGUUAUCUAGGUUGCUCUUUUUCAGGAGGGGCUUAACAACUGCAGUUUUAAGGGACUUUGGAAAAGUCCCAGAGUUAAAUGAUGAAUUUACCACUUCUAGGAGAUCUGCUUCUAAACAGUUAAAGACACUUUUGAAAAAAUAUGUUGGGAGUGUGUCAAGGGGCGCAGAUUGAUGUUUUAAGAUGCUGUACUGUUUCUUUCAAAGUUUUACCAUCAACUGCUUUGAUAUCAGACAUCGUAACUACUUUCAGAUGUUGUGGUCUGAUUUAUCUGACCCGGCGCAGCUCAAGGAUGUGCUGAUCACGUUUCUGAUAUUAUUGCUUUUCUCAGAGAAGAAGUAAUCAAAUUCACUGCAUUUGCUGUCUGAGAGCAUUUCACUUGGAAUGUGACUUGGGGGGGGGGGUGUUAGUCUCUCUAUAGUAGCAAAAAGAGUGUGAGUGUUAUUUAUGUUGUUGUUUAUAAUAUUUGAAAAGAAAGUCUGUCUAGCUUUGCCUAGUUCCACACUGAAAGCACGAAGGCUGUCUUUAUAGAUAUUAUAAUGUACUACAAGUUUUGUCUUCCACCACUUGCACUCAGAGUUUGUCCAAAGUGAUUUUUGCCUGCCAUUCUUCUUCCUUACUUUUACAGAAGCAAUAUCAUCGAUUGCACUCUUAACUUUCGAGUCAGUUUACUCAGAGUUGCCUAAACGAAAUCUGACCUGAACCUAAAAACUCAAGAGUUUCACAUCUCAGGGAAAACCAACUUCAAAGUUCAAAUUUUAACGGAGUUGCUUGAACCUCCUUAUUGAAAUGGGCCCUGGGUGAAGACUUUAGAAAUGUUUUGGUUUUUAUUGAUUGUAAGUAUUUAAAAUUUUUCUGAUAACAAUUUUAAUCUGGAAAAUUUUGUUGUCUGUAUUUUGCAUUGGUCACCCCUCUGAAAUGACCAUUCUUUAAAAUCAUUUAGCCCAGAUCAGUCCGGGUUGAGUUUGGACCGAAAGGCUUUGGCUUGAUGUGUUUUGUAAUACUUUGCAUAAAGAGACCAUGACAAGCUUAUUUUUAAAGACUGCUUAAAGCUCAUAUUUAAAUAAUCUUUUAAUGUUUGUAUUUGAGUUUUCAGUAUUAUUUAAUGCAAAGACGUGUAUUUAUAUUAUUGUGUUUAUGUAAAAAUCUCUGUGUUGCCAUGAAUUUAUUAAAAUGAAUAGGAAUGUUUUAUUUAUAGAUUGUAUUUGGUUUUUCAGGUAGUGCAGAUUGAUGUGAAAGGGAUUUUCUCUUUCUGCAACUUUGUAUCAUUGUGUCUUUCAC
Misgurnus anguillicaudatus (oriental weatherfish) is the source of this 3380-nucleotide non-coding RNA. NCBI's taxonomy places the organism in Eukaryota, Metazoa, Chordata, Actinopteri, Cypriniformes, Cobitidae. The record is from RefSeq and is a predicted model, not a curated record.